Molecule: long non-coding RNA, 636 nt
Filed under: Pongo abelii (Sumatran orangutan)
Lineage: Eukaryota; Metazoa; Chordata; Mammalia; Primates; Hominidae
Description: lincRNA
Source: RNAcentral
AAAGGAUUGAAAAGAAGUUCACCACAAAAAAGUUUGAAGACAAGCAAACCUGAAACAGAUGCAGUGUAGUAGAUCUCAAGGGUGCAUUGCUCACUCCAGGGCCUGCUGCCACCCAGAUGGCUGGCAAACACCAGGACUCCCCACACAACAGGAUUCGGGGAUUCAGACAGGAGUCUUGCUCUACCAAUUAUUAUAGGAUCUUAGAUGCCUUUCCAGUAAAGCUAACAAAAAACAAAACAAAAUAAAACCAUAUCCAACAUACUAAACAGCUGUCUCCAAGAUCAGAAGGCAUCAGAAAAGACCCUCAAGAGUUGUCUAAUCCCAGAGGAAGAUCUUGUUUAAGUGGAGAAGUGCUCACAGCAGAAACCUUGGAAAUUUCAGGGAGUGGAAUUUUAUUGUCAGAACUUUCAAUAAAAGUGUAGCCACAGAUCCUGGGAGCAUUAAAUAAAAAUUACCAACAAGCUGUCUUACCUGUGUGCACUCCACUGAAAGGAAGGGCAAACAUGAACAAGGAGCUCUUGUACAUCAGUCAAAAUUCUGACAGCUACCCUGUGAAGUUUGACGGGCUGCCAUGUGCUAGACUACCUAAGAUACUCUUAACUGAACCAUAAAAAGACAAAUAAAUUAGUAAUUGUA